This 406-nucleotide ribosomal RNA is filed under the name uncultured bacterium. RNAcentral's name for it is "partial 16S ribosomal RNA". It matches the Rfam family "Bacterial small subunit ribosomal RNA", at positions 28 to 526 of the family's 1533-position model. The record is from RNAcentral.
GAUGAACGCUAGCUACAGGCUUAACACAUGCAAGUCGAGGGACCGGCGCACGGGUGAGUAACACGUAUCCAACCUGCCCUUUACUCGGGGAUAGCCUUUAGAACGAAAGAUUAAUACCCGAUGUAAAGGCGGGGGAUGCGUUCCAUUAGGUUGUUGGUGAGGUAACGGCUCACCACACCUUCGAUGGGUAGGGGUUCUGAGAGGAAGGGCCCCCACAAUGGAACUGGGACACGGUCCAAACUCCUACGGGAGGCAGCAGUGAGUAAUAUUGGUCAAUGGGCGGUAGCCUGAACCAGCCAAGUAGCGUGAAGGAUGAAGGCUUAUGGGUCGUAAACUGCUUUUAUAUAAGAAUAUGUAUUAUAUGAAUAAGGAUCGGCUAACUCCGUGCCAGCAGCCGCGGUAAUUC